GGAAGGAUGGCCGAGUGGUUAUGGCGCUGUGUUCAGGUUAAUAGCCAGUAUCGCAGUGGGAAACCGCGUGGGUUCGAUCCCCACUCCUUUCA
Non-coding RNA from Tirmania nivea, 92 nucleotides. Lineage: Eukaryota; Fungi; Ascomycota; Pezizomycetes; Pezizales; Pezizaceae. The record is from the annotation of a GenBank genome assembly.